ACAGUCUUGAGGGAACACUGCUGGUGUGUUUGGUUACUUUUAACUUGUAUUUUAUCCUCAUUUUCUUCUCUCUUUCGAGUCCUUGCAUGUUCUAUAUCUAUAAUUGCCACCAAUUAUUAGUGAAGGUGUAAGAGACUCGUUUAAUGCCUCAGACACAAGUUUUAUCCUUGCUGCUAAUAACAUUGAGUUUUUGAAGCAAGCACAAGCCUCCAG
This 213-nucleotide unclassified non-coding RNA is filed under the name Hevea brasiliensis (rubber tree). The record is from RNAcentral. Lineage: Eukaryota; Viridiplantae; Streptophyta; Magnoliopsida; Malpighiales; Euphorbiaceae.